GACGAACGCUGGCGGCGUGCUUAACACAUGCAAGUCGAACGGAAAGGCUCCAGCUUGCUGGCGUACUCGAGUGGCGAACGGGUGAGUAACACGUGUGUAAUCUGCCCUUCACUCUGGGAUAUGCCUGGGAAACUGGGUCUAAUACUGGAUAUGAUCUUUCUCCUUAUGGGGUUUGGUGGAAAGUGUUUCUGUUUAGGCUGGUUCCGCGGCCUAUCAGCUGGUUGGUGGGGUGGUGGCCUACCAAGGCUACGACGGGUAGCCGGCCUGAGAGGGCAAUCGGCCACAUUGCGACUGCGAUACGGCCCAGACUGCUACGGGAGGCAGCGGUGGGGAAUAUUGCACAAUGGGGGGAAGCCUGAUGCGGCGACGCCGCGUGAGGGAUGACGGCCUACGGGUUGUAAACCACUUACAGAAGGGCCGAAGCGUAAGUGACGGUACCUGCAGAAGAAGCACCGGCUAACUACGUG
RNAcentral lists this ribosomal RNA (467 nucleotides) under uncultured bacterium. Its description in RNAcentral is "partial 16S ribosomal RNA". It matches the Rfam family "Bacterial small subunit ribosomal RNA", at positions 28 to 507 of the family's 1533-position model. The record is from RNAcentral.